Molecule: ribosomal RNA, 942 nt
Filed under: Stachybotrys levisporus
Lineage: Eukaryota; Fungi; Ascomycota; Sordariomycetes; Hypocreales; Stachybotryaceae
Description: SSU rRNA
Rfam family: Eukaryotic small subunit ribosomal RNA
Source: RNAcentral
GUGGUAAUCUAGAGCUAAUACAUGCUACAAGCCUGACUUCGGAAGGGGCGUAUUUAUUAGAUUAAAACCAAUGCCCUCUGGGCUCCUUGGUGAAUCAUGAUACUUCACGAAUCGCACGGCCUUGCGCCGGCGAUGGCUCAUUCAAAUUUCUUCCCUAUCAACUUUCGAUGUUUGGGUAGUGGCCAAACAUGGUUGCAACGGGUAACGGAGGGUUAGGGCUCGACCCCGGAGAAGGAGCUGAGAAACGGCUACUACAUCCAAGGAAGGCAGCAGGCGCGCAAAUUACCCAAUCCCGAUUCGGGGAGGUAGUGACAAUAAAUACUGAUACAGGGCUCUUUCGGGUCUUGUAAUCGGAAUGAGUACAAUUUAAAUCCCUUAACGAGGAACAAUUGGAGGGCAAGUCUGGUGCCAGCAGCCGCGGUAAUUCCAGCUCCAAUAGCGUAUAUUAAAGUUGUUGUGGUUAAAAAGCUCGUAGUUGAACCUUGGGCCUGGCUGGCCGGUCCGCCUCACCGCGUGUACUGGUCCGGCCGGGCCUUUCCCUCUGUGGAACCUCAUGCCCUUCACUGGGUGUGCUGGGGAAACAGGACUUUUACUUUGAAAAAAUUAGAGUGCUCCAGGCAGGCCUAUGCUCGAAUACAUUAGCAUGGAAUAAUAAAAUAGGACGUGCGGUUCUAUUUUGUUGGUUUCUAGGACCGCCGUAAUGAUUAAUAGGGACAGUCGGGGGCAUCAGUAUUCAAUUGUCAGAGGUGAAAUUCUUGGAUUUAUUGAAGACUAACUACUGCGAAAGCAUUUGCCAAGGAUGUUUUCAUUAAUCAGGAACGAAAGUUAGGGGAUCGAAAACGAUCAGAUACCGUUGUAGUCUUAACCAUAAACUAUGCCGACUAGGGAUCGGACGAUGUUAUUUUUUGACUCGUUCGGCACCUUACGAGAAAUCAAAGUGCU